Molecule: long non-coding RNA, 783 nt
Organism: Oryza brachyantha (malo sina)
Lineage: Eukaryota; Viridiplantae; Streptophyta; Magnoliopsida; Poales; Poaceae
Exons: 6
Source: RefSeq, a predicted model, not a curated record
AAGAGUCAAGUAGCUCCUGUGAAUCAACAGCCUUCGAUGAAGCUCCCCUAAGAGCACGCCAUGAUACCCACUGUCCAGUUUGAACAGCCCGUGCAUUAUGAACCGGAAGAGGUCCCGGACAGUCACAAGCUGGCGGUCAGCGAGUGCCCAAUACAGAGCUAUCGUGUUCUGUAGAGGGGUCCGAAUGGGCUGUCGAUGUGAGAAGUACAGCGACAGUUGUAUACUGGAAAGCAUAUCCACUGCCUCUUGGAACACUAUCAUAGUUACAACAGCCCACUGCAUUAGGCACGGAGAAAGCAGCCAUUUCUACACCUCUACCACACGCGACCGUGGGAGUCCCGCAGCGGAGGCAGCAGCUAUGGCGCCUGCCGCACACCUGGCUGUUGUCGUUCUCGAUGAUGAAAUGGUACCGCUUCCCGCAGACAGGGAUUGUGACGUCAAUGAAAUGCGAAGAUUGUACAUCAAAAGCAACAGCCCAACAAUACUUGCGAAGGCCAACGCAGUCACGGAAGAAAACGAGAAGAUUCAAGAUAAAUUACUGUUGGAAACAGACAAGACGCCAAAUGCUCAUUUCAGCCCAUUAUUUGCUAAAAAAUCAGAACUUUUUUAUGUCGUUAAAUCUUGGGAGUUGCAUUCCAAAACCGCGGAAAAACCAUCUCAAAUAAUAUACCAGAGACAUUAUCUCGAAAAAAUAAAGAUCGCGAUCGGAGCACAUCCUCCUCGACGACGUUGAGCUCCACGGCGGCGCCACCGCCCUCCUCGUCCCCCUCCUCGCCGACCCGC